This 499-nucleotide ribosomal RNA is filed under the name uncultured bacterium. RNAcentral describes it as "partial 16S ribosomal RNA". It matches the Rfam family "Bacterial small subunit ribosomal RNA", at positions 28 to 507 of the family's 1533-position model. The record is from RNAcentral.
GACGAACGCUGGCGGCGUGCUUAACACAUGCAAGUCGAACGGGCCUGUCUUCUUUUUUGGGGGUGGGUUGAGUGGCGAACGGGUGAGUAUCCCGUGAGUAACCUGCCCUUCGGUCCUGGAUAACCGCUUGAAAGGGCGGCUAAUACGGGGUGGUCCGGUUGGUCCGCAUGGGCUGGUCGGGAUAGAUUCACUGUUUUUGGUGUUUCGGCGGGGGAUGGGCUCGCGGCCUAUCAGCUUGUUGGUGGGGUGAUGGCCUACCAAGGCGGUGACGGGUAGCCGGCCUGAGAGGGUGGGCGGCCACACUGGGACUGAGAUACGGCCCAGACUCCUGCGGGAGGCAGCAGUGGGGGGUAUUGCACAAUGGGCGGAAGCCUGAUGCAGCGACGUCGCGUGAGGGAUGGAGGCCUUCGGGUUGUGAACCUCUGUUUCCGGUGGUGAAGGCCCUGUCCGUGUGGUGGGGUUGACGGUAGCCGGGGAUGAAGCGCCGGCUAACUACGUG